Molecule: long non-coding RNA, 775 nt
Organism: Bombus impatiens (common eastern bumble bee)
Lineage: Eukaryota; Metazoa; Arthropoda; Insecta; Hymenoptera; Apidae
Exons: 4
Source: RefSeq, a predicted model, not a curated record
AUAUUUAAAAAAUGAGCUGGCAAUAAGUACGCAUUUCCUGUGUUAGUGGCAACGACGUUUUAUGGGUAGUGUAGAGCAAAAAUAUGUAAUUUUUAAGAUUAUGGUGUUUAUCAUGGAUAGAAGACGGAAAAAUGUUGAUUCAUUGAAUAAAUUUGGUACGUGCAAGUUCGAGUUUCUAUUGGAGAAGCAUAGAGAAGUUGUGGGAAGGUCUACGCCAAUGGAUGAGUUCGUUCCUGUGUGUUCUCAGUAUAUACACUAUGGACGAUUUGGUGUUGCACGACGUACUACGUUCGCGUACCCUGGAAGAGAAUUCCCCUGAGACGAGACACGGGGAAGAGGGUCGCGCACCAGGACUGCUCUCAUCGUGGCCCUUUCGUGAGAACAAGUGCGAAACAAGUGUCGCACAGGUUCCUACCACCUAUCUAAGCUACAUUCAGAAAUAUUUCACAAUAGAUCUACAAAACUAAACGUACAAAAUCUGUUUCAAGCAGCUCUAUCUUCAUUGUAGCCACCAAAAACCUGUAAUUAAGAAACGACUCAAGUUCAGCCUACUCACCCUUCACCAAGGAAGCGAGGCACUCAUUGUACCAAGGCAGCCGCAGAAGGAGCCAGGCGUAAACAUACGUAGGAUGGCUGAAGAGAAGCGUGGCUCUGGUGUCCAGCGGAAACGGCCUGCUCCGGAAUCGAUCGUAAAAUCGAGACCAGGGGAGAGGGCUGGCAUCAUCGAAUGAUAGCGUUCAUUCGGGCUGAUGGCUGUUAGGGAGAGGUCGCCCGA